RNAcentral lists this ribosomal RNA (2844 nucleotides) under Ralstonia pseudosolanacearum. RNAcentral describes it as "bacterial LSU rRNA". It matches the Rfam family "Bacterial large subunit ribosomal RNA". Lineage: Bacteria; Pseudomonadati; Pseudomonadota; Betaproteobacteria; Burkholderiales; Burkholderiaceae. The record is from RNAcentral.
GUUAUAGGGUCAAGCGAAUAAGUGCAUGUGGUGGAUGCCUUGGCGAUCACAGGCGAUGAAGGACGUAGUAGCUUGCGAAAAGCUGCGGGGAGCUGGCAAACGAGCUUUGAUCCGCAGAUGUCCGAAUGGGGAAACCCGGCCCGUAUGGGUCAUCCCUUGCUGAAUACAUAGGCAAGGGAGGCGAACGCAGUGAACUGAAACAUCUAAGUAGCUGCAGGAAAAGAAAUCAACCGAGAUUCCCAAAGUAGUGGCGAGCGAAAUGGGAACAGCCUUGUACUCUUUAGCAGUAUUGUUAGCGGAACGGAAUGGAAAGUCCGGCCAUAGUGGGUGAUAGCCCCGUACGCGAAAACAGUAUUGUGGAACUAGGUGUACGACAAGUAGGGCGGGACACGUGAAAUCCUGUCUGAAGAUGGGGGGACCAUCCUCCAAGGCUAAAUACUCGUGAUCGACCGAUAGUGAACCAGUACCGUGAGGGAAAGGCGAAAAGAACCCCGGGAGGGGAGUGAAAUAGAUCCUGAAACCGCAUGCAUACAAACAGUCGGAGCCUGGAAACGGGUGACGGCGUACCUUUUGUAUAAUGGGUCAGCGACUUACAUUCAGUGGCAAGCUUAACCGAUUAGGGAAGGCGUAGCGAAAGCGAGUCCGAAUAGGGCGUUCAGUCGCUGGGUGUAGACCCGAAACCAAGUGAUCUAUCCAUGGCCAGGUUGAAGGUGCGGUAACACGUACUGGAGGACCGAACCCACUAACGUUGAAAAGUUAGGGGAUGAGCUGUGGAUAGGGGUGAAAGGCUAAACAAACUUGGAAAUAGCUGGUUCUCUCCGAAAACUAUUUAGGUAGUGCCUCGUGUCUCACCUUCGGGGGUAGAGCACUGUCAUGGUUGGGGGGUCUAUUGCUGAUUACCCCGCCAUAGCAAACUCCGAAUACCGAAGAGUGCAAUCACGGGAGACAGACAUCGGGUGCUAACGUCCGGUGUCAAGAGGGAAACAACCCAGACCGCCAGCUAAGGUCCCUAAGAUUGGCUAAGUGGGAAACGAAGUGGGAAGGCUAAAACAGUCAGGAGGUUGGCUUAGAAGCAGCCACCCUUUAAAGAAAGCGUAAUAGCUCACUGAUCGAGUCGUCCUGCGCGGAAGAUGUAACGGGGCUAAGCCAGUCACCGAAGCUGCGGAUGCACGUAAGUGCAUGGUAGGAGAGCGUUCUGUAAGCCUGUGAAGGUGUCUUGUAAAGGAUGCUGGAGGUAUCAGAAGUGCGAAUGCUGACAUGAGUAGCGAUAAAGGGGGUGAAAGGCCCCCUCGCCGUAAGCCCAAGGUUUCCUACGCAACGUUCAUCGGCGUAGGGUGAGUCGGCCCCUAAGGCGAGGCAGAGAUGCGUAGCUGAUGGGAAGCAGGUUAAUAUUCCUGCACCGUCGUAUGAUGCGAUGGGGGGACGGAUCGCGGAAGGUUGUCCGGGUGUUGGAAGUCCCGGUCCCUACAUUGGAGAUGGCACUUAGGCAAAUCCGGGUGCGUGAUUCAAGGGUGUGGGGCGAGCGACGUUAGGUCGCGAAGCAAUUGGAAGUGGUUCCAAGAAAAGCCUCUAAGCUUCAGUCAUACGAGACCGUACCGCAAACCGACACAGGUGGGCGAGAUGAGUAUUCUAAGGCGCUUGAGAGAACUCGGGAGAAGGAACUCGGCAAAUUGGUACCGUAACUUCGGGAUAAGGUACGCCCUUGUAGUUUGACUGGCUCGCGCCAGAAGGAUGAAGGGGUUGCAAUAAAAUGGUGGCUGCGACUGUUUAAUAAAAACACAGCACUCUGCAAACACGAAAGUGGACGUAUAGGGUGUGACGCCUGCCCGGUGCCGGAAGAUUAAAUGAUGGGGUGCAAGCUCUUGAUUGAAGUCCCGGUAAACGGCGGCCGUAACUAUAACGGUCCUAAGGUAGCGAAAUUCCUUGUCGGGUAAGUUCCGACCUGCACGAAUGGCGUAACGAUGGCCACACUGUCUCCUCCCGAGACUCAGCGAAGUUGAAGUGUUUGUGAUGAUGCAAUCUCCCCGCGGCUAGACGGAAAGACCCCAUGAACCUUUACUGUAGCUUUGCAUUGGACUUUGAACCGAUCUGUGUAGGAUAGGUGGGAGGCUUUGAAACCGGGACGCUAGUUUCGGUGGAGCCGACCUUGAAAUACCACCCUGGUUUGUUUGAGGUUCUAACCUUGGCCCGUGAAUCCGGGUCGGGGACAGUGCAUGGUAGGCAGUUUGACUGGGGCGGUCUCCUCCCAAAGUGUAACGGAGGAGUUCGAAGGUACGCUUGGUACGGUCGGACAUCGUACCUAAAGUGCAAUGGCAAAAGCGUGCUUAACUGCGAGACCGACAAGUCGAGCAGGUGCGAAAGCAGGACAUAGUGAUCCGGUGGUUCUGUAUGGAAGGGCCAUCGCUCAACGGAUAAAAGGUACUCUGGGGAUAACAGGCUGAUACCGCCCAAGAGUUCAUAUCGACGGCGGUGUUUGGCACCUCGAUGUCGGCUCAUCUCAUCCUGGGGCUGUAGCCGGUCCCAAGGGUAUGGCUGUUCGCCAUUUAAAGAGGUACGUGAGCUGGGUUUAAAACGUCGUGAGACAGUUUGGUCCCUAUCUGCCGUGGGCGUUGGAAUCUUGACGGGGGCUGCUCCUAGUACGAGAGGACCGGAGUGGACGUACCGCUGGUGUACCUGUUGUCUCGCCAGAGGCAUCGCAGGGUAGCUAUGUACGGAAGAGAUAACCGCUGAAAGCAUCUAAGCGGGAAACUCGCCUGAAGAUGAGGAUUCCCUGGAGACUUGAUCUCCCUGAAGGGUCGUUCGAGACCAGGACGUUGAUAGGCUGGGUGUGGAAGCGCAGUAAUG